This is a long non-coding RNA of Solenopsis invicta (red fire ant), 1737 nucleotides long. RefSeq lists it as uncharacterized. The transcript is spliced from 2 exons. The record is from RefSeq and is a predicted model, not a curated record. NCBI's taxonomy places the organism in Eukaryota, Metazoa, Arthropoda, Insecta, Hymenoptera, Formicidae.
UUAAGAACAUAACGACAGAAAAUAUGUUACACAAAUCAAUUAUGAAGUAUAUAAAAACAGAAAAACUGCGAAAAGACAGGUGGUAUCGCACACACACACACAUAUAUGUAAUAACAAACUAAACAUUGAUAUUCACAUGCGACAAGUGUCGACAAGAUGUAUGAACCUUCAUUAUUUAGCGCAUUUGUUUUUUGUCAUAUUAUUCCUUUGUUUUUAGAAAAGCCGUUUUCGGAUUCGUACGGUUUUUCCGAUCACUGGUUUAACAUCGACAGUAUAUAUGUACAUGAGCGGGUACCGCGAGUACCUAUGUACGUACGUAACGCGCGUGUGCACGCGUUUAACGGAUAUUUGUAUACAAACAAACGUACGGUACAGUACACGCGCGCGCCGCGCGUACGUACACACAUACAUCUCGAUCGGCAGACAAAAGGAUCAAAUGUGUGUCGGACCGGGUGGGAGGCGUUGGAGGAGGAAGGGGAAGGAAGGAAAGCGGCGAAGGAAGGGGAGGGCAGGCGACGGAGACAGAAAAACACACAUCGCAGGUGCAGCGUGCGAAGCGUAGCGACUGGGACCCUCUUGAGUGUAACGAACUUUUUUUCUUUUCCUUCCUCAACUUCUUUUUUACCGGACCGUGGUGCAUGGUGACUACAUGUUAAUUUUCGUGCCAUGGAUAUAUACGGGUGGUAUUCUUAUCAUGAAAACGAACCACCGUGCCUGCCUGCCUACCGCUCUCCGAGACAAAAGGAGGAGGAAAGGCCAGAAAGGCCUGCACCGCGUCAAACAGCGACGAUUCUCCAGUAAAGGAGGGCAUAGCGCGUGGUACGGAUAUACUUAAAGACGGAGCUGCGCGCGCGACUGCGUAGCGACUAGCGGCUUUAUCAACGUCCCUUCCUGACGUCACAGUUAUCACAAACUUCAGACGUAACCACCGCGAGUCGGUAGCAGCACUACUCAUCGACUCCAAAAAGACAAAGCUACUUGAAUCGGUCGAUAUUGUCGGCGAGAUUUUUAGAAAUUGAGAUAUUUUAACUGCGUUCUGGAAUUUACUGCCAGGAUUGAAAAUUUACGUAAUGUGAAUUGUAGGUCGAUGUUCGCCUGCUAAACAAAAGGCUUGUUUUCUAUUCCUGCACUAGUCUGCACUGGAACGUUCCAUCUUGCUUUCACUAACUUUCAAAUAUAUAUUUAUUUCAUUUUAAGUGCACACUAAUUCAGGGAGUUCAAGAACAGAAAACAAACGGAAAAUCAUGUUGCAACGACGUUUCUGUAACGUUGCGUUAUAGUCAUGCAACGUUUUGCGUUUUGUCGCAUAAACGUUUCGGUAACGUUCAAGUAACCAGAAAUGUCCCGAUUCAAUUACCUUACAUAUGCAACAUCACAUUUCCAACGUUUCUGCAACGUUUUUAAAACUUGCAAUACAAUGUUAGGGAAACGUUACCCAAGCAAGUAAAAAUAUUUAAAAUAUGCUUUUUAAAUCAAAAGAGAAUUGUUUUCUCUGUGAGAAAUUAGAAUUAUAUUCCUAAUUUUUUAAAUUGUGGAGGUGCCAGCUUCGCAGAAGUUUUUUUUAAAGAAUUUUUUUCGGAAAUUUCAAGCGGUCACCUAUCCAAGUCGCGACUCCGGUAAACGUUGCUUAAUCUCCAUGAUCUCUGCGAACUGAUUUCUAGCGAUGAUCCGUGAACACUUUGCGUUAUUAAUACAUGUAUAUCGCUGAUAGAUCAGGUAAAUAUAUGUUAUUAAAAA